This 4764-nucleotide long non-coding RNA is filed under the name Triticum aestivum (bread wheat). RNAcentral describes it as "long non-coding RNA (TAES_LNC011779)". The record is from RNAcentral. Lineage: Eukaryota; Viridiplantae; Streptophyta; Magnoliopsida; Poales; Poaceae.
UCGCUCCAUGCCUUCCCUAAUCUACAUCUGUAAUCUUCCAUGAUUCAUCCAAGCCCUUUCCGAUCCAACAAAUCAUUGCCCCGUUUCUCCCCAAAAAACAAUCUUCUGUUGGCCACAUGAAGAACAACAAUUGGAGCUCUCGACGGGAUGCGAGUAUCUAUCAGGUGGAUCCUCCCACCGUAACUUCAGAAUAGCUCCGGUUGCAGAGACGCUGAUCGAGAGCCAUGAAGAAAGCUGCGGGUCUCCGUAUGAAAGAUGCACCAGAUCCCCUAAUUUGGAUGUUGAAUCUGAGUCCUCGACGUCGGAUUCAGGAUUCCCCACUCCCAGCAGCCAACGGAGAUGUUAAAUCGAGUAGCCCCAUCUCCAACAAAUCCGGAACAGAGCCAUGUUCAUGGCAGAGAAGGUACGCAUCCUGGGGACAACAAAUUUUUGUUAUUGAUUCCAUAUCUGAUGGAUUGAAAAGGACAAUUUAUUUACUCUGAACCUAGGAUUUGUCGUUAGAAAUAUGAUAUCUGUAAAGAACUAAUCAAGUGUUUGAUAGCACCAGUCUCCAAUACUAAGCGAGAGUUUUGCCUAGCGGUAACAACAUAUACAGAACAAAUGGCUUGUAGCACAAAAUUGUUAGCGACUACACCAGUGUCAAAUGCAUUGUACCUGGUCUAAUGCAUGAGCAGAAAAACAGGAAAAGGGACAAUGAAAUUUGGCAAUAAUGUCAAACGAUGAUGUAUGUUCACCUACCCAACAGUGAAAAAACUACAUAAGACUUCUAAAUCAAUGUGUGGAUUUGUGUAUGUCGAAUUUCAGAGUGUCCGUUCAUAUAUUAGGAUUGCAGAAGCGAAUCUGCAUGAUAUCUCUGAAAUAGACAAUAUGUGAAUCAAUUGUGUGCCAAAGUUCAGACACUAUAUUCAAAAAUUUGAUCUACAGCAAUGCCCAAUCCCGUAUAUGAAAAAAUAAGACUGUUAAUUUAUCCGAGUGUCAUACUUCUGAUUGUACAUUCAUAUCUUAUGUUUGCACAACAAGUCUGCAUGAUAUCUUUGAAAAGAAAUAAGAUGAGAAUUAUAGCAUGCUCUUCUACUAUAAUUUGGGGUUUGGAACGGCUUUCAUAGGUAUGAACUCUAUUAAGUAAAGGGCACUACAGUAUAGUAUCCACUUGGAGUUUAUAGAUCAGAUAAUGGUUCACAAAAUAUUUUGCUUGAAUACCUCAAUAAUUCUGUCUAAAAAUAAGAACCUGAUUAAUCAGGUACAGAUGGCUUCGGCCGGCUGCUACUAAAAGAUACUCAAUAUUUGUGACUUCACGUGAUGAUUGGAACUUAAGAUCAUCUUUAUCAUUAAAGAUUUCAGCACAAAGUUGAUCUGCUUUACUUCUACAUCAAAAACGAAUAUUUAUAAGGUGAAAAGUAAUAAAAAUAAUGAAUCUUCAUAAACUUGACCAUUAAUCUGUAAUCAGUAGUUGGCACGAGCAGGGCCGGCCGGUCCCAGGUCUCAAGUGGCAGAGCAAGAUAAUCUCCUCUCCAAAGACCAGUGGGCGCACCGACACUGAUCUAUGUAGCGGGUCUGUCAUUGUCUCUAAUAAUAUUAUAAUAUCAUCCUCUUUAACUUUAUAUUUGGAUUCUCUAUUGUGCAGGAAUAAACAAUCAAAAUAAAAGGUGGGCCACACAGCAAGGAAUUUGAGAAACCAUCCAAUGUGGUUAAAAAAAACAAAUAAGCAAUGUAACAAGCAGUGGUGGAGCUACCAAAAAAAUAUUGGGCGGGCCGGAUAGUAUAAAGAGUAGUAACAAAGUAAAAAAUCUAUAUUGUUGUGGGCUAGACUUCAUAUAAAACUUUAUUUGCUUCAGCCAAGGGCGGGACAUGGCCCUUUCAGCCUUGCUGAAGCUCUGCCGGUGGUAACAAGGUGAUCUAUUAUUAAUCGUGAAUCUUAUUUUGGUAUCACAAGAAUGUUACUACUAAAAAGGCAGUACUUCCAAUUAGCCACAAGAGGUUCCUAAUUGAUUUUAGCUUGCACCAGAAAACAAUAUUUUAAAUUGUUAUCUUCUUGAAGCAAAUCCAUACAAUGAGCCAAAAAAUGGCAAGAUUGGAAAGGAGAAUGAAACCGCAAGACAAGAAAAAUAGAGUCUUUUUUGAUCAUACAUGGGGAUGUCCUACACUACAUAACUACACCAAAAGAACAACCUUUAAUCUACGUGAAGUAAUAAAAUCUUCACAAAGUUUUACCCUUAUGUGUAUUAUCAUCCAUGUGAUUCUAAACUUUACCAGUAAUGACACACAACUGAUAGUAUAGUAUACAUGAAGCAAACAUUAUGUACCUUGCUUAUGCUUUGCACAUCAACUAUGCUAUCUAUGUGCCCAAAUCUUUCUAAACAUAAAAUAUUCCUUCAUUAACUCCACGAUUUGAUGUAGUAUAAUUAUAUCUCACAAAUUUUACCAUGAACAAGAGGUUAUAAACUCCGGUGGCACAUGCAUUUCCAUAUCUUCAAGCGGGGCUAAUUUAAAUUGCUCUAUUAAAUCACAGAAACAUGUUACAUUUGGUUAUGCCUGUAACUAUGAAGUAUGCUUUCAAAAAAUAAUUAUAAAACACAUGCACUCUGUCUAAACCAAUAUUGAGGAAAGAAUGUUCCAUUGCCACAAGGAACAAUGUCCUAUACAAAUGUUCAAAUGUACAUUGACUGCGACCACGGGUAAUAAAUUGCUUAUGAAGGAAAUUCCAUCUCUUAGUUCUACUAAUUGGUAUUUAUGUUUACGAAGGGCAAUUAACAAAAUGGAUAAAGCUAAAGAGACAAGACUACAUAGGAAAAUAAAAAUAGAAAGCACAAGGGUUGCAGAACAAUCGACAAAAAAGGGCACUAAUCGGUCAGACUGGUGAGACUAUGAGGUAAGCAACAAGAAAAUAGAAUCAACAUCUAAAGUUUGGACAUUCGUGAACCCCAUAUUUCUGUUAUGUACAUGUACAUGAAUAAAAGUAAGAAAAAUUGUGCUACAUCAAUAUCAAGCAGAAAGAAAUAAACACCAGAUACAUAAGUUCUAUUGAUUUUUCUGAAGUAUUAGAAAUACAAGACAAUGCUAAUAUUAAAUUGAUGCUAAAUCGGAAACUUGGACAGGAUAUCGGAAAGGACUAAUAGGAAAACCAAGCUCCAAGUGUGACCGAUGUGGCGCAAUUUUCUGGUACGAAGAAAGAACUUCAGGUAGAGUGAAAAGCAUGCCAUCUUUCGGACUAUGAUGCCAACAGGGAAAGGUUGGUUUGCCACCAUUCAGAGAGCUACCGACUUACCUUGCAGAAUUGCUAAGGAAAGACAAUAGAAACAGGUCAAAAAAAUAUACACAAAAUAUCAGAUUGUACAACUCCAUGUUCGCUUUCACGACAAUGGGAGGGAAAAUAGGAAAAAAAAACAAUAGCAGUAGGUCCUAUGUUUUAGAAUGAACGGGCAAAAUUACCACAGAAUAGGCACUCUACUACCUGAAGGUAAAGACAGACCACGCUGGGCACAGUUGUACAUCUAUGACACUGAAAAUGAGGUAAGAAACAUGAUUAAGGCGUCGACGUCUGAAGAUAAAAUGGAGUCAAUAGAUGCUCACAUCGUCGAGGAACUUAAAAUAUGCUGGAUAGAGAUAAUAUACUUGCAAAAACAUUCAGAAUGGCAAGGGACAGAUUCGAAGAAGGUGACUAUCACAACAUGAGAUUAAAACUAAUCAAAUUUAUGUUUUAUAAAAUCUGAUAGUUUUUUGUUACAAGUCAUAGUGCAGAUAAAAAAGUUAGGCUUGAUAAGAAGAAGUUCUCCAUUUUCUCCAUCUUAUUAGGUGUAUGCAAAAUAUGAUGCAGGUGCUGUUUUGGUAGUGGAACCUUUCUACGUGUAUGUUUACCUUUCUCUAUAUUAUCUUCCAUAAAAGUAUUGUAACACAAUAUCAAGUGCAUACCUUUUGCUCCCAAGCUUCGAAUAGCCAAAUAAUUCAGAAUUAAACAAAUAAAAAUCCUCCUUUAAGUUUGAGACUGUCCUGAUUUUUUCCUUGCAUGUUAAAUGUUCAUCCUAACACCUGAUUAUGAUUUUUCUUUUAUAUUUGCAUGUUCCCCAUAAAAGACUAACAUGCUUUUUUUCAGUUGUAAAGACUAACAUGCUGAACUAAAAUAUUUUGACAGUACAUAAAAAAUGAAAAAGUCAUUUAACUUAAUCUUAUGAAGCACAUCUACAUGCAUUAAAUCACCAGCCACUGGCCGCACCAGCGAAUCGAGCUGCAAGGGGUGGCUGCAGCCUGCAGGUGAGGACAAUCAAGCUCAAGGCACCGAAUCAAGGGAGCGAGUUGAUGGGAGCAAUCCGGCGGCAGUAAUUUUGUAGUGAGCGGAGAGAAUAAGGAAGAGAAAAAGGGGAUCGGGCAAGAGCAACAUGCUACUGUGUGAAGUGUGAACGGGUAAGAGGAUUUUUUAGGCUGCUCAGGAAAGAAGAUGUGUGGUCGCUAUGUCCAUAUGCGUGAGGCUAUUUAGCUAAAUCCCAUAAUAUCCCAUCACAAGAAAUAUAGGAGUACUAACUUUUCCAAAAACAACUACACAAAAAAACUAUACUCAUAAGUCGAGAAGACUUACCUAAUAGGGAAAGCAAAGGAAUUAGCAUGAUGGGACCCAUGAAACCAAUGACGGUUUGUACAUGUAAUAGUAGCGUGCACAAUUCUUUUUUUUUCCUAAUGAAAAUACUAUGGACGAUGUAUCUUUUCUAGGAAGUGGACAAGCUGAGAGCAAACUAUGCCGACGUGUCUUUUUUUCAAGCAAAAUAUAAGUUU